CCUACGGGCGGCAGCAGUGGGGAAUAUUGCACAAUGGGGGAAACCCUGAUGCAGCGACGCCGCGUGAGCGAUGAAGUACUUCGGUAUGUAAAGCUCUAUCAGCAGGGAAGAAGAUGACGGGACCUGACUAAGAAGCCCCGGCUAACUACGUGCCAGCAGCCGCCGUAAUACGUAGGGGGCAAGCGUUACCCGGAUUUACUGGGGGUAAAGGGAGCGUAGACGGCGAUGCAAGCCAGGUGUGAAAGCCCGGGGCUCAACCCCGGGACUGCAUUUGGAACUGUGUGGCUGGAGUGUCGGAGAGGCAGGCGGAAUUCCUGGUGUAGCGGUGAAAUGCGUAGAUAUCAGGAGGAACACCAGUGGCGAAGGCGGCCUGCUGGACGAUGACUGACGUUGAGGCUCGAAAGCGUGGGGAGCAAACAGGAUUAGAUACCCGUGUAGUC
RNAcentral lists this ribosomal RNA (440 nucleotides) under uncultured bacterium. RNAcentral describes it as "partial 16S ribosomal RNA". It matches the Rfam family "Bacterial small subunit ribosomal RNA", at positions 338 to 795 of the family's 1533-position model. The record is from RNAcentral.